GACGAACGCUGGCGGCGUGCCUAAUACAUGCAAGUCGAACGCACAGUCUAUACCGUAGCUUGCUACACCAUAGGCUGUGAGUUGCGAACGGGUGGGUAACGCGUAGGUAAUCUGCCUAUUAGAGGGGGAUAACUCUUGAACACGAUAGCUAAUACCGCCUCACAGUCUUUAAUCAAUGUUAGAUGCUUGAAAGAUGCAAUUGCAUCGCUAGUAGCUGGACCUGCGUUGUAUUAGCUAGUAGGUAGGCUAAUGGGCUUCCUAGGCGACGAUACAUAGCCGACCCGAGGGGGCGGUCGGCCACCCUGGGACCGAGAACCGGCCCCGACUCCUACGGGAAGCAGCAGGAGGGAAUCUUCGGGAAUGGGGGGAACGCGGACCGGGCAACGCCGCGGGAGGGAAGAAGGUUUUCGGAUCGGAAAGCUCUGUUGUUAAGGGAGAACGAGAGUUAUAAUGGAAAGUUCAUACUGUGACGGUACUUAAACAGAAAGCGACGGCUAACUACGUG
Molecule: ribosomal RNA, 505 nt
Filed under: uncultured bacterium
Lineage: Bacteria
Description: partial 16S ribosomal RNA
Rfam family: Bacterial small subunit ribosomal RNA
Source: RNAcentral